RNAcentral lists this ribosomal RNA (330 nucleotides) under uncultured eukaryote. RNAcentral describes it as "partial 18S ribosomal RNA". It matches the Rfam family "Eukaryotic small subunit ribosomal RNA", at positions 1470 to 1796 of the family's 1831-position model. The record is from RNAcentral.
CCCUUAGAUGUUCGGGGCCGCACGCGCGCUACACUGAAGGAAUCAGCACGUCUUUCUCCUUGUCCGAAAGGACUGGGUAACCCGCUGAACCUCCUUCGUGCUAGGGAUUGGGGCUUGUAAUUCUUCCCCAUGAACGAGGAAUUCCCAGUAAGCGCGAGUCAUAAGCUCGCGUUGAUUACGUCCCUGCCCUUUGUACACACCGCCCGUCGCUACUACCGAUUGGAUGGUUUAGUGAGAUCCUCGGAUUGGUCCCGGCGCGGCCUCUGGUCGUGCCGGAGUGCCGAAAAGAAUGUCGAACUUGAUCAUCUAGAGGAGGUAAAAGUCGUAACA